This 253-nucleotide ribosomal RNA is filed under the name uncultured bacterium. RNAcentral's name for it is "partial 16S ribosomal RNA". It matches the Rfam family "Bacterial small subunit ribosomal RNA", at positions 524 to 776 of the family's 1533-position model. The record is from RNAcentral.
UACGUAGGGGGCAAGCGUUGUCCGGAAUCAUUGGGCGUAAAGAGCGUGUAGGCGGUUCAGUAAGUCUGCUGUGAAAGUCCAGGGCUCAACCCUGGGAUGCCGGUGGAUACUGCUGAACUUGAGUCCGGAAGAGGCGGGUGGAAUUCCUGGUGUAGCGGUGAAAUGCGCAGAUAUCAGGAGGAACACCGAUGGCGAAGGCAGCCCGCUGGGACGUGACUGACGCUGAGACGCGAAAGCGUGGGGAGCAAACAGG